RNAcentral lists this ribosomal RNA (872 nucleotides) under uncultured bacterium. RNAcentral describes it as "bacterial SSU rRNA". It matches the Rfam family "Bacterial small subunit ribosomal RNA", at positions 8 to 847 of the family's 1533-position model. The record is from RNAcentral.
AGAGUUUGAUCAUGGCUCAGGACGAACGCUGGCGGCGUGCUUAAUACAUGCAAGUCGAGCGAGGUUAUGUUGUGGACAUCCUUCGGGAGGGAAGCGAUAUGACCUAGCGGCGGACGGGUGAGUAACGCGUGGGCAAUCUGCCCUAAAGCUCGGGAUAACAGUGGGAAACUGCUGCUAAUACCGGAUGACUUUAUCGGGAGGCAUCUUCGGAUAAAGAAAGUGGUCAAUCAUUGAUUGACCAGCGCUUUAGGAUGAGCCCGCGUCCCAUUAGCUAGUUGGUGAGGUAACGGCUCACCAAGGCGACGAUGGGUAGCCGGCCUGAGAGGGUGAACGGCCACACUGGGACUGAGACACGGCCCAGACUCCUACGGGAGGCAGCAGUAGGGAAUAUUGCGCAAUGGAGGGAACUCUGACGCAGCGACGCCGCGUGAGCGAUGAAGGUUUUCGGAUCGUAAAGCUCUGUCCUUGGGGAAGAAGGGUGCGAAGCAUCUUGACGGUACCUAAGGAGGAAGCCCCGGCUAACUACGUGCCAGCAGCCGCGGUGAUACGUAGGGGGCAAGCGUUGUCCGGAAUUAUUGGGCGUAAAGGGUGCGUAGGCGGCCUUUUAAGUCAGAUGUGAAAGACCACGGCUUAACCGUGGGGUUGCAUUUGAAACUGGAGGGCUUGAGUAUCGGAGAGGGUAGUGGAAUUCCCAGUGUAGCGGUGGAAUGCGUAGAUAUUGGGAGGAACACCAGUGGCGAAGGCGACUACCUGGACGAAAACUGACGCUGAGGCACGAAAGCUAGGGGAGCAAACAGGAUUAGAUACCCUGGUUAGUCCUAGCCGUAAACGAUGGGUACUAGGUGUAGGAGGUUUCGAUACCUUUCUGUGCC